AAUAUUGGACAAUGGGCGAAAGCCUGAUCCAGCCUUGCCGCGUGUGUGAAACAUGUCUUCGGUUUUUAAAGCACUUUAUGUUGGGAGGAAUGGCAGUAAGUUAAUACCUGUCUGUUUGGACGUUACCGACAGUUUAAGCACCGGCUAACUUCGUGCCUUCAGCUGCGGUAAUACGAAUUGUGCAAGCGUUAAUAAGAAUUACUGGGCUUAAAGCGUGCGUAGGUGGUUUGUUAAGAUGGAAGUGAAAGCCCCGGGCUCAACCUGGGAACUGCUUUCAAAACUGGCAAGCUAGAGUAUGGCAGAAGGUGGUGGAAUUUCCUGUGUAGCGGUGAAAUGCGUAGAUAUAGGAAGGAACACCAGUGGCGAAGGCGACCACCUGGGCUAAUACUGACACUGAGGUGCGAAAGCGUGGGGAGCAAACA
Molecule: ribosomal RNA, 422 nt
Filed under: uncultured bacterium
Lineage: Bacteria
Description: partial 16S ribosomal RNA
Rfam family: Bacterial small subunit ribosomal RNA
Source: RNAcentral